UACGUAGGGUGCGAGCGUUAAUCGGAAUUACUGGGCGUAAAGCGUGCGCAGGCGGUCCGCUAAGACCGAUGUGAAAUCCCCGGGCUUAACCUGGGAACUGCAUUGGUGACUGGCGGGCUGGAGUAUGGCAGAGGGGGGUAGAAUUCCACGUGUAGCAGUGAAAUGCGUAGAGAUGUGGAGGAAUACCGAUGGCGAAGGCAGCCCCCUGGGAUAACACUGACGCUCAUGCACGAAAGCGUGGGGAGCAAACAGG
This 253-nucleotide unclassified non-coding RNA is filed under the name uncultured Gammaproteobacteria bacterium. Its description in RNAcentral is "contains 16S-23S intergenic spacer region". It matches the Rfam family "Bacterial small subunit ribosomal RNA", at positions 524 to 776 of the family's 1533-position model. Lineage: Bacteria; Pseudomonadati; Pseudomonadota; Gammaproteobacteria. The record is from RNAcentral.